This 639-nucleotide long non-coding RNA is filed under the name Vulpes vulpes (red fox). Its description in RNAcentral is "lncRNA (ENSVVUG00000016831.1)". Lineage: Eukaryota; Metazoa; Chordata; Mammalia; Carnivora; Canidae. The record is from RNAcentral.
AUGCGAGCGGCCUUGGCUGACCCCCUUCCCGUGUGCAGAGCCGCGGGGACAUCAGACGACCGGUCUUUGCCCUCAACGACCCCAGGUCCUGCUGAGAGGCAGCCCCGGGAGGAUGUGGGUGGGAGCAGGGACCCGGGGGCCACUGCCCAGCUGCACGCGGUGAGGAGUGUGGCCCUGGUGCAGCCCCGGGGCUCGGCCGCCACCCCCGAGCGACUCUGGGGUCCCCGCGCCCCCCAGAAUCAGGGACUCCGUUCUGAGUCGUCUGCUGAAUCACAUGGGAACCGCACGGAAGGGGAGCUGCAGGCUCGUGGACGCUCCGAGGCCCUCAACAGGCCAAGCUCCUGUCACGGCGCCUGCACCUUCCUGUCCAGGCCUUGCGCCUGGGCUCCCGGCACGGCCCCCGGGACGGUUCGCCCUCUGGCCACGGGCCCAGCUGUGCUCCCCGACGGUCCUCCGAACGGGCCCACACAGAGGGGUCUGCAUGCCCCUGUGGAGGCCGACCCCGGCGCCCAGCCUCGCUCCCGGAAGGACACGCACGGCCCUCCUCCCCUCGUGGGCAUCGCGUUCGCACCAGCAGAACCCAAGACUUAGUUUCAGAAGUGAAUGUAUUUGGCUUUUCAAGGAUUUGAAGCAUGAAAG